Molecule: long non-coding RNA, 219 nt
Filed under: Zostera marina
Lineage: Eukaryota; Viridiplantae; Streptophyta; Magnoliopsida; Alismatales; Zosteraceae
Description: long non-coding RNA (ZMAR_LNC004105)
Source: RNAcentral
CCUAUGUCUAUGUCGUAAAAAAUCAUCUGUUCCUAGAACCUUGGUAAAACCAUCCGCAAAUUGCAAUUGUGUUAGAACAUAUUCAAUUUUCAGAGUUCCCCCUAUUCACUAAUUCUCUCACGAAAUAGUAACUUCUUUCAAUAUGUCUUGAUCUUGAGGUAAUUGUUGGAUUCUUGGACAUGAAUAUUGCUGAACGAUUAUCACAUAACAGUGUUGGUG